This 214-nucleotide long non-coding RNA is filed under the name Elaeis guineensis (African oil palm). RNAcentral describes it as "long non-coding RNA (EGUI_LNC046848)". Lineage: Eukaryota; Viridiplantae; Streptophyta; Magnoliopsida; Arecales; Arecaceae. The record is from RNAcentral.
CACCUCUUUUCCUUUUGAAGAUCCACUUACACCCCAUGGGUUUUACCCCUUCAGGUGGGCAAAAAAUACUAUGGGUUUAAACAUUAUGAACCUUUAUGUCUGGCUUCAUUAAGAAUGGAGAGGAACCCUGCAUAUACAAAUGGAUUAAUAACUCUGUGAUAGUAUUUUUUAUUUUGUAUUUCGAUGACAUUCUCUUAAUCGAGAAUGACAUCCC